UAAAGGCAUCCUCGUCGUCCUCCUGGCUGCUGGAGAAGGAUAUGUAUUAAAAGGCGAGUCACACGGCAGUGUUAUCGUUAGUUAUUCGACGUUUUCGGACCCGUUAGGAUCUGCUUUUCGAGGUCGAGAGUUCUCUUCUCCGGGCGUACUUGCCGUCGUCGGUGGUAUUCAUCAUUUGCAGUCUGGUGUGCGCCUGAGGCACGACCUUUUGCUUCUGCUGUCUUAGCACCACGGUUGGCGAGUGUGGCGUAAAAAAUUGAAGGUGGUGUUUUGGUUCCCGUCUGUUUCGGUGUGUUACUUUCUGGCAGGAUCGGUGUGGUGGCAAUAGAAGAAGUUAUAAAUCUGGUUUUAUCACCUUACCGUGGCAUGCUUUUGUGGUACUUUCACGUAUGAAAUAGGCUUCUCCAGAGUAAAGCAGUUUCCCGGCGCGGAAAAAGUGGAUGUGAUUCAGCCCAGAAGGGUGUCGAUAUCAUGGCGUUCAGGGGGUAACAGUUUCUGUCACAGUGCGUUGUUCGAUGAGAUUUAUCACAUUCAUAUCGCGGUGGGAGUCGUUUUGAAAGGGAAAAUUAAUUGCCGCUCCUCCCAGUGGAAUAAUUUGGGCUCGACGUCCGCGUUUCUGCUCCCAGGAUCUAAGUGAAGUGUCACGUGAAUCGUAGUGUGUAUGAAAAGCGGCAGUGUGAUAUAUCGCAAGCACAUGUUUUCACGCGUACUUUAGGCAACGUAUCAACCAAGCUCUUCUCAAGUGCUUUCUCGGAAAAACCCAAAAUCUGAUAAAAAUAGAAUGAAAUAACGGUUGAAAAAAUAAUCCUUCUCCUACCGGAUUCAAUCAAUUAUCGUUCCAUCAUCGUUUGCGUCGGCUUUGGUGACGAGGGCCACUGGCUGGUUGGUGCUAUUUGAAAAAGAUUCAGCCAGUCUAUUUUCAAUUCAUUCUGAUUCAACAAUAGCCGUCGCACAACAAAAAACUCAUGUUGAAGAAGUGAAAUUUGUGGAAAAUCAUCCAAACAAGAAAGCUCCAGCAGCAUCAGCAGGCGAAGUACAAGAAAGCAUAACAGAUACAGCCAGUUAGGCUUGCGCUGGGAGGGGGAGGUGAAAAUUCGGGCGAGAAAGUGGAUCCGGCUUAGAGUGUAUUGUGAUAGCUAUUCCAAUUUCUAGAGUCGACUGCCUGGUGUUUUGGUCCCCGGUACAAGAGAAGAGCCGGUUUUACAAUUCAAGCUGCGGUGGAGUGUUUGGCAGUCAAUGGAUGUUUGUCAUCCCCUGCUGCUUCCAUACCUCCGGUGUCUGGUAGUUCGAGGUUCAGGUGUUGCGGCCGUGAAUCCAAGAGUGUUAUCUUCUUUUUGUGUGGAACCGUUAACAGAGAAAAAUCGUCAAAACGUGGGGCGAAAUCAAGAAAGGUCUCCAAUCGCUGUGGAUGACUAGACUCUGCAGUCCUUGGGAUUACAGUCAGCACGACGAGUAUCCACUGGACGGAUUCUCUCAGUUCCUACAUCCGUCACACAACGACGGCAAAGAAAUGGACGACAUGUUGGUGCACCACUGCAACAAGAACAGCGUCUACGUACUGGAUUCCAGCUACCGAUACCGGGAUUUCGACAUGAUAGAAUUAUUCGGUUCACCGGCUGGAAGAGCAUUAACAGUGAAUAAUAGAACAGCUGCCGAAAUGCAGCCAUGUAGUAAAUCGAACAGCAACAACAAUGGCAGCAAUAGUUCCAACAUUGCCAGCAUCUCCCCCCACAACCGACAGCCUCUUUACCAUCCCCUCCAGAACUGUGGCUUCAGUGGAACCUGCAGCACAAUUUGCACCAGCCUCAACCAGAACCAUGCGAGCCAUUCAACUGCCAACAACAACUUUGUUGAAACCAACGAUCUAAUAAGGUACAGAUCCAGCAACCAUCAUCCCCAGCUGCCUGGCCAGCGGCAUCACCAAACGACAAACUACAGCAACGGCCGAACGAACUCGAAAAUCGCCAAAAUAUGGAAACUCUUCGACGAGGAUCGAAUACACAGGACCAGCCCUGGCAGAUGCGGCAGCACCAAACAGAGUAACAGCACUAGUACUGGGAUUAGCGGGAGUGAUAUCUUCAGCCGAUGUCAAAGCAGGAGGAAAUCCAGCCCAUCCCAACAUGAAGAGAAAUCCACCAAGGACCUGUACAACGAGGCGGCCCAGCUGCUCGGAAUCAAGUGCACUCUCAGCGACAACUGUCGCUGCAUUGAUUGCCAGAGCCAGUACUUUGACUGUGACGAUUUUGAUUCGUACUCGGAAUAUUCGGAUAAAUCAUUCGACACGGAAGACAAUUUCGUCGUCAAUCAAUCGUCCUAUUACUGCUCCAGCGGAACCAUCCACAGUCAGCGGAACGAUAUAACAGACGUCUGUCAUCAUGUAGACGACAGUCAGGACCAAGACGUCGUCGUUAUUGGCGCCGCCGGGAAUCCCGAUGUCUGCGGUAACGAACCCUCCAGCCGCAGCGCUACGCCCAACGGCGAUGCCAAUCAGCAGCCCAACCAUCUCCGGGGAGUAAACGUCGCCGGCGUGCGUUAUGACGAUGAAAAUGCGGAUGACAAUGGUAACAAUAAAAAUGAUCAAUAUUUACUGCACGACACGUCCCACGAGCUGCCACAUCCGGUAGAUGCCCGUCGAAAUCCCACUGCUGUUGGCGGAAUCUGAUGUAGGGAGAAUCGUGGCAGUGAUAUCGGACCGAAGCAACAGAUAAAGCCGCCAUCGCUGGGGGAUGAUGGCUUCUCAUCCAGUUCCGUUGUUGGAGGUCAUGCCUCGGCUGGGAAAAUUAACGAAUCGGAAACGAAUGGCAAUUUGAUAGCAUGAAAAAGCUGCUUUAUAUGUUCCAAGGACCACCUCCUCGUCACAUCCAGUUCAUAGAAACCAACAAUUCGAAACCAACCGAUAGAAGCUGCAUGAAUCAAUUGCUUAUCAUUCCGACCAAAUAAUACGGAGCAAAAUGCCAACACCUUCCAGGAUAAUUCCCCACAAAGAGAUCGAAACCAAUGAGAUAGAAACUGUUAACCAGCAACUAGAGCAAAAAGAUGGAAGAUAGCCUCCCAUCUCACAGCUUUCACACGCAGCAACACUGUAGGUUAUAUAAAUCCAUCUUUAACUCAUACUGAAGCCAACACGAUACCUUUGAGCCCACCGCCAUCUUACGAACAUGUAUUAGAAGAAAAUCGCCUUGCUGCUUUAGAUAAAGAGAACAACAAAACAUCUC
Armigeres subalbatus is the source of this 3215-nucleotide RNA transcript. RefSeq lists it as uncharacterized. Lineage: Eukaryota; Metazoa; Arthropoda; Insecta; Diptera; Culicidae. The transcript is spliced from 10 exons. The record is from RefSeq and is a predicted model, not a curated record.